Pelobates cultripes (western spadefoot toad) is the source of this 850-nucleotide non-coding RNA. Lineage: Eukaryota; Metazoa; Chordata; Amphibia; Anura; Pelobatidae. The record is from the annotation of a GenBank genome assembly.
UAUAAUCUCAUAAAGCUGCCACGUCUUAAGGAUAAACAUCUUGUUUUGUGGGGGCGGGAGGGGUUCUCCCUAUUAAUUCAUGAUCUUCAUUAUUUAUUACUGUUCAAUAUAAAUAUAUAUUUUUACUAAUGAUACUGGAACUCUAUUGAAAGCAAUAUGCCCUUUCUUGGUGAAAUGCAUUUUUGCUCUAUGUGACGUUAUAGCCGUAGUGUCUAUCAUUUCUCGCAUUUGAAACUUUUUUUUUUUUUUUGUUCAUUUUCUUGUGCAAUGGUUUAAGGUAUGUUGCCAGAUGGAGCUCCUGUGUAUUGCAAACCUGCCGUUCACAAUGAUUAAAAUGCUAUUGGGGCUGUAUUCGAAACACUUCAGUUAGGAUACCCUAUUGAAUCUGCAGUUGUUUAUAUUCUCCCAAAUCGCUAAUCCUUUCUGAAAUCAAUGCAAUGAAUGACAAUCUUGAUGGUUUUUGUUCAUGAUUUUAAAGUUAAAACGACUGGGACUCUAUUCUACUGCAAUGUAAUUUCACCACCUGGAUAUUUUAUGUCCAAAGGCACAUUAAGGACAUAUAAUGUAUAUACCAGACUUCAAGCAUUUUAUAGAGCAUUUAUUUGUUCCUUUUUGGUUGUGUUUUGUGGGGUUGUUUUUUUUUUUUUUUUUAAUAUAUCUGGUGACCGCCGCCAUUUUCAAAUGUGUUUACACAAUGGGUUGGUUAAGUUUUUCUUAAUGAAGUAAAAUGAUGCACAAGUACUUUAAUCGUACAGGAGAACUUGUGUGCAAACAGUACUUUUUAAAUAUUUCUGUGAAAUGUUUGACAUAUUGCUAAAUUGUUUAAAUAAACUCUGUAUUUCAUGCUGAU